Schistosoma margrebowiei is the source of this 45-nucleotide non-coding RNA. The record is from Rfam. Lineage: Eukaryota; Metazoa; Platyhelminthes; Trematoda; Strigeidida; Schistosomatidae.
AUCCAACUGACGAGUCCCAAAUAGGACGAAACGUAAGUCAUGGAC